Paramormyrops kingsleyae is the source of this 504-nucleotide non-coding RNA. The record is from RefSeq and is a predicted model, not a curated record. NCBI's taxonomy places the organism in Eukaryota, Metazoa, Chordata, Actinopteri, Osteoglossiformes, Mormyridae.
CCUGGCGCUCUCGGGGUACAUGAAGUGGUGGGUGGUCCUGCUACCGGCGUCGUCCUCGUACCCGACGGUGGGCGCCAGGUUCAUCCUGAUGGGAGGAGAGACAGGAUGGCUGCUAGAUCGAUGACACUACCUGCUGGCGUGGGGACAGGCGGCUGCCCGCCACGAAGCAGAGACAGAAAUGCUCAGGCAGAGCCUGAGAACAAUGCAGAGCCUGAGAGACACACACACACACACAUAGACACACACGCUGACCUCUUCCACAUUUUCAUGCUCUCUUACCCACAGACACAAACAACCGUGCAUGACACUGCUUCCUCUCACACAGCCAUGGUGUGCUGGUCUGUGUGCGAGAGAGCAGGAGGGUGGAAGCUGAGAUUGCUUCAGAUCGGGUAGACUCGCCUGCCCCCCCCCACACACACACACACACGCACAUAGAGAACGCUCUUCCAUACAUCACUUCAGUAGUGACACGCACACAAAAAUCCAUGGGCUUCCAGAACAAAC